Molecule: microRNA precursor, 62 nt
Organism: Astatotilapia calliptera (eastern happy)
Lineage: Eukaryota; Metazoa; Chordata; Actinopteri; Cichliformes; Cichlidae
Source: Ensembl
UUACCCAGCCUGUAGGGCCUUUACUGAUGUUCGUACGGGGUGAGGUAGUAGGUUGUGUGGUU